AUUUAAAAUCAUCACACAUUACAAUCUUACAAGUUUUUACAAAGUACAUAACUUUGAGACAUUACAAACAUGUAGAGUAUUUAAAAUAACAAAAAAAUACAAGCACUCUUUCCAAAAACACCUACACAAUAAUGAAAUCAAAUGAUAUGAGAUAUAAGAUAUGCUUUUCUAUGUCACCAGCAAACAUGAAAAAAAAAAAGAAGAAGCAGAAUCUACAAUCCUGUUUGAAGAAUGGUUUCUAUAAAAAGUUCUGUAGUCGUAAAAAUCAUCAAAUCCUUUUUCUGUAUAAGAAUGAAACAAUCCCAAAGUACCACCCAAGCGCAAAUAAUCUGUAGAGAAAUAUAGAGAGAGUUAGAAUUACAACAAAAUGAGAGUUUUCACUAAUAUCAAGGCAUUUUGAUAAGAUAAACCAAUCCUACAUGAAACAAUAGUCAAAUUGUCCUUCUUUGUAAACAGAAAUACAAGUAAAAACAACAAGAAAAAAAAC
This 487-nucleotide long non-coding RNA is filed under the name Ananas comosus (pineapple). RNAcentral describes it as "long non-coding RNA (ACOM_LNC037985)". The record is from RNAcentral. Lineage: Eukaryota; Viridiplantae; Streptophyta; Magnoliopsida; Poales; Bromeliaceae.